UCCCGCACGCACACGGGACAGGGUCACGUUCUCCUCGUCUUCUAGCCGCCUCUCUCCCAUCACGCGCAGCCCCCACGCCGCCGCCCCAUGAAUGCGGCUGCCCAGCCUCCUCCGUCCUACCUCGGUGCCGUCAGCUCUGCCCUACCCCAUCCCGCCCUCUAUCAAGGAUCUCCACCGAUUCAAGAGGGUCUCUCAGAUCCAAAAAAAAAUACGUGUGAGAGAUUUGGGGCUGAUUGAUCAAUCCUUGGUUGGGAUCUAGGCACGGCUAUGGGGAAGAUAGUGGUGGUUGUGUGCAUCGCAGCGGGACGGCAAUGUUUACGCUGGUGCCAGCGGUGGAAGGGGGUGGAGCUUGUGGGCUCUGCGGAGGCUGACUUGAAGACGAAGGUGGCGGCGGUGAUUAAGGAGGUGGCCCGCACGCUCCUUGAGCUCGAUUAAUCCGAUGUAAACCUUGAUGCAAAAGGAAGCUCCAUGAAGAAGAGAUUGAAAAUCCAACAUCACAACAUAUAUAAGAUUUCUUAUUUUCAUGAUUAGCAAAGUUAUUGCAGACUGCUUGUUUGUUGUCUGAUAAAACACAUCUCUGAAAAUUCGAUAGACCCUUUGAUCGAGUUUACAUCUGUUAUCGUGUCUGUUCCAAAUUUGAUUUAGGUCUAUAGGCAAGGGCUAAACUGAAUCAUGCUACUACACAAGGGCUAAACUAAACCAUACUACUACUUCCUACAUGCCCAAUUACUGAUGAUAGGAACUAACAGUUGGGCUGGGCGAUGUUCCCAUGCAUGGUCGCACUAUGUUAAUUAGUGUGUGCUGACCUAACAUGUUACUAUUAUUUUUCCGCAGAGGAGCGAGGGCCUGGCGAAGCACGUGGACCAGUUAUCGUUACGGUGGAUUUUCCACGACGUGCGCGCUUCGGUCUAAUUAGCGCGUACGCUAAGAAAUAAACUUAGUGGAAAAUUUCAUUCGAAGAUUUGACUAGCAUCCAACCAGAGGAAUAACCCGAAAGGUUGCGACGAAUCGGAUCGGGAUGAGUAGCUAGAUGUGGAUCGAUGGUGGCGGCUGGAAAGGGUUAACCCUCACCGUCUACCUCUCCUGCUGCUCGGUGGUGACAUGUGAUCAUCCACAGCUAUCCGACGUAUGCGGACUCAGAAUGUGGUGUUUGCCCCACAGUGAAGCACAUGACCUUUCCUUGAAGGAUGCAUGGACACGUGCGGACCAUCCCCCACCCCCCUCCAAUGAAACAAUUAUGUAACAUUGAUUCAGAAGCAAGAGGGCGAGUCUGUAACAUUGAUUCAGAAGCGAGAGGGCGUAUGAGGGUCGGUGGACAUAUGGACCAGGUGCAUGGUGUAGCUCGCGCAAGGCGGCCCUCAUGUCUAGCUCAAUGAGAUUAGUUCUAAACAUUUCACUGCGCUAGCGUGGUUCAGUGACAAGUCUGUCGUGCAAUGCUUGAACUCAUCGCCUUGGCAUAUGUUCGGGCGCAUUGUGAUCAGGUGGAUAUCACGACCACUAUGUCGGCGAGGGUGGAAGGACGAUAAGCAAUUACAUGGCUGGGGUAGAGGAUGUGGGCCUGCAUGGGUCUUUGAGUCAUGUUCGGCAUGUGAGUUUGUUGGUUCUACGAGAAAUUCUAUUUAUAUAUAUGCAUAACGUGUACAAUAUGUAGUAUCGUAAAAUACCAGCAAAUGAAAA
This is a long non-coding RNA of Aegilops tauschii subsp. strangulata, 1677 nucleotides long. RefSeq lists it as uncharacterized. NCBI's taxonomy places the organism in Eukaryota, Viridiplantae, Streptophyta, Magnoliopsida, Poales, Poaceae. The record is from RefSeq and is a predicted model, not a curated record.